GAUUAACGCUGGCGGCGUGCAUAACACAUGCAAGUCGAACGAUGAAACUUUAAUGAACCCUUCGGGGAGAAUUAAAGCGGAUUAGUGGCGAACGGGUGAGUAACGCGUGAGUAACCUGCCUUACACAAGGGGAUAGCCUUUGGAAACGAAGAAUAAUACCCUAUAAAACCAUAAAAGCACAUGCAAUUAUGGUCAAAGUGAUAGCGGUGUAAGAUGGACUUGCGUCUGAUUAGCUAGUUGGUGAGAUAAAAGCCCACCAAGGCAACGAUCAGUAGCCGGCUUGAGAGAGUGUACGGCCACAUUGGGACUGAGACACGGCCCAGACUCCUACGGGAGGCAGCAGUGGGGAAUUUUGCACAAUGGGGGAAACCCUGAUGCAGCGACGCCGCGUGAUUUAGAAGGCCUUCGGGUUGUAAAAAUCUUUUGUAUAGGAAGAAAAUGACAGUACUAAACGAAUAAGGUCCGGCUAAUUACGUG
RNAcentral lists this ribosomal RNA (477 nucleotides) under uncultured bacterium. Its description in RNAcentral is "partial 16S ribosomal RNA". It matches the Rfam family "Bacterial small subunit ribosomal RNA", at positions 28 to 507 of the family's 1533-position model. The record is from RNAcentral.